AUGUUCAAAAGAAAGAAAAAGAAAUUCAAAACCAAGUUUCAUCAAAAUGACAAAUCCUUUUAUCUGUAUUUUUACUGUUACAUUGACCAAGAACCUGCAUCAAAACAGUAUACUAUACAUACAAAAAAACUACUCCAAAACCUGUCCAAAGACUUGCACAGAAGUAUCAUACAAAAACCUGUUGUUGCUGUCAAACCUGCUCCACCAACCUGCUGCAAAACAACAAGAAUUGCUCAAAAUAAAAGGCAUUACAACAUGCAAUUAUAUUUUUUCAAAUUUCUCCCUCCAAUUUCACUUAUGUUUGGCUAUAAGACAGUAGGAAAAUCAUAG
Molecule: non-coding RNA, 330 nt
Organism: Vicia faba (fava bean)
Lineage: Eukaryota; Viridiplantae; Streptophyta; Magnoliopsida; Fabales; Fabaceae
Source: the annotation of a GenBank genome assembly